GCGUGCCUUUUGCAUAAUGAGCCUACGAGUUACUCCUAUCUAGCAAGUUUAAGGCUUUCAGAGCCGCAAGCGUAGCGAAAGCGAGUCUGAAUAGGGCGUAUAGUUAGUAGUAGUAGACGCGAAACCGAGUGAUCUACCCAUGGGCAGGUUGAAGCUGUGGUAACACACAGUGGAGGACCGAACCAGUUGACGUUGAAAAGUCUUUGGAUGACCUGUGGGUAGGGGUGAAAGGCCAAUCAAGCUCGGAAAUAGCUCGUACUCCCCGAAAUGCAUUUAGG
Molecule: ribosomal RNA, 278 nt
Filed under: Oxyrrhis marina
Lineage: Eukaryota; Dinophyceae; Oxyrrhinales; Oxyrrhinaceae
Description: partial Bacterial large subunit ribosomal RNA
Rfam family: Bacterial large subunit ribosomal RNA
Source: RNAcentral